This 390-nucleotide ribosomal RNA is filed under the name Triticum aestivum (bread wheat). RNAcentral's name for it is "partial small subunit ribosomal RNA". The record is from RNAcentral. Lineage: Eukaryota; Viridiplantae; Streptophyta; Magnoliopsida; Poales; Poaceae.
AUGGUGACGGUUGCAAGAUACUGGAAUGUCACAAUCAUCGUGCCGUACAUGGAUAAAACUUCAUUUUGGGUUGCCCAUGAGUUCCGAGAUAUAUUUGAUGUAUACUACUUCAUAGCAUCAUUGAAAGGUGUGUGGUUCAAAUUCUUCGUCGGAAUGGACCCUUUUGUGGUUCUCCACUUGCGGUAUGAGAUGGACAUACUUGCCUUCUCUGGGUGUACACAUGGUAGCAGGAAAGAUAAGGCUGGGGAGGUUAGAAGGAUGAGAUAUUGCAGUUCUGGCAAGUGGAUCUGCACAAACGAGUAUGUGUUUGACUGUGCAGGUGAUAAGGGAGCUGAAGCUGCUGGACAACGGCGAUCUUGCAGAGGUCAUCACAAUCCUUGUUCCGAAUAG